Molecule: ribosomal RNA, 253 nt
Filed under: uncultured bacterium
Lineage: Bacteria
Description: partial 16S ribosomal RNA
Rfam family: Bacterial small subunit ribosomal RNA
Source: RNAcentral
UACGUAGGGUGCAGGCGUUAAUCGGAAUUACUGGGCGUAAAGCGUGCGCAGGCGGCUCCUUAAGUCAGAUGUGAAAGCCCCGGGCUUAACCUGGGGACUGCGUUUGAAACUGGGGGGCUAGAGUGUGGAAGAGGGGGGUGGAAUUCCAGGUGUAGCAGUGAAAUGCGUAGAGAUCUGGAGGAACACCGAUGGCGAAGGCAGCCCCCUGGGCUAACACUGACGCUCAUGCACGAAAGCGUGGGGAGCAAACAGG